AUACGUAUUAUACACUCAGUAUUUUUUAAACAGUGGGUGUGGAACAGGAGAGAGGGGACGUUUAAAGCCAUCUUCCUACCUGACAUUAGCUUUAGUUAUACAUUUAGUAAAGAGUUUGAAACCAUUAGCUUAAAAGGGCUACUAGAAAGUCUGUAGCUUUUUUUGGUUUUGUUUUGUUUUUUCCCACCUUUUAGGGCCACACCACAGCAUAUGGAGUUUUCCAGGCUAGGGGGCGAAUUGGAGCUACAGUUGCCGGCCUACACCACAGCCACAGCAACGACAGAUCCAAGCCGCGUUUGUAACCUACACCACAGUUCGAUCCAUGGCCUUGCUCAGUGGGUUGGGGAUCCGGCGUUGCAGUGAGCUGUGGUGUAGGUCGCAGACUCAGCUUGGAUCCCGCGUUGCUGUGGCUGUGGCGUAGGCCGGCGGCUACAGCUCUGAUUAGACCCCUAGCCUGGGGACCUCCAUAGGCCGCAGGAGCGGCCCUAGAAAAGGCAAAAACCAAAACCAACCAAACAAACAAAAAACCAAAAGGGUCCAUCCAUGCAAGUAUCUAGGAGCAGUACAUCUGGUCCAGAGUCAACAGGAAGGGCAAAGACCCUGGGCUUGGCAUUUUGCCAGGGACAGGAACUGGUCAUUGUAGGAGCAAUAGGAGCAGACGCUAAAGAGGUAGGCGGGGGCCAGCUCAACGUGGGUUUUGAAGGUCCUGAUAAGGAUUGUGGAGAUUUAUUUUAUUUGCAUUAGGAACACAUAGAACUCACUGCAGAGUUUUGAAAAGGGAAGUGACAUCAUCUGAUGUGUAUUUAAGGUGAUCAUUUUGAUUGUUGUAUAGAAAAUUGAGCAAGAGUAGUAAUAGGAUGCCUAGUUAGAAAGGAUGCUAGCGGGCUUUGGGGGUGUCAGUGGAGCAUAGAAAGGUGGGUGGGUUUGGGAUAUAUUUGGAAGGUAUAUCUGAUAAAUUUGAUAUGGGUCACUGAAAGGGGAAGAAUCAAGAAUGACUGCAGGAAAAUAGUGUGGUGGUUCCUCAGAAAACUAAAUGAAGGACUACCAUAUGAUCCAUAUGGGCAUGUAUCAGAAGAAAACUUUCAUUAAGAAAGAUAUAUGUGGGAGUUCCCUUGGUGGCUCAGUGGUUAACGAACCCAACUAGGAUCCAUGAGGAAGUGGAUUUGAUCCCUUGCCUCACUUGGUGGUUAAGGAUCCGGCGUUGCCGUGAGUUGUAGUGUAGGUUGCAGAUGCUGCUCUGAUCCUGUGUUGCUGUGGCUGUGGCGGAGGCUGGCAGCUGUAGCUCUGAUUCGACCCCUAGCCUGGGAACUUCCAUAUGCUGUGGGUGUGGCCCUGAAAAGCAAAAAAAAAAAAAAAAAAAAAAAAGAUAUACGCACCCCUAUGUUUACUGCAGCACUGUUCGCAAUAGCCAAGACAUGGAAACAACCUAAAUAUCCAUUGACAGAUGAAUGGAUUAAGAAGAUGUAGUACAUAUCCGCAAUGGAAUACUACUCAGCCAUAAAAAGGAACAAAGUAAGGCCAUUUAUAGCAACAUGGAUGCAACUAGAGAUUCUCAUACUAAGUGAAGUAAGUCAGAAAGAGAAAGACACAUACCCUAUGAUGUCAUUCAUCUGGAAUCUAACAUAUGGCAAAAAUGUACCUAUCUACAAAACAGAAACAGACUCAUGGACAUAGAGAACAGAAUUGUGGUUGCCAAGGGGAAGUGGGGAAGAAGUGGGAGGAACUGGGAGUUUGGAGUUGGUAGAUGCAGACACAUUUAGAAUGCAAAAGCGAUGAGGUCAUACUCUACAGCACAGGGAGCUAUAUCCAGUCUCUUGGGGUAGACGUAAUGGAACACAGUAUGAAAAAAAUAAUGUGUAUAUAUUACUGGGUCACUUAACUGUACAGCAAAAAUUGACUCAACACUGUAAAUCAGUCAUACCCUAAUAAAAAUAAAUUAAUUAAAAAAAGAAUCAUUCUGGGUUUUGGCUUGAAUAACUAGGAGGAUAAUACUGAUUACUAAGCUGGAAACUAUGAUGAGUGGUACAGAGUUGAGGGCUGUGCUCAAAGUUUUCUGACCUCCUUAUCUGGGAGAUGCCUAUUAUGUAUCUGGUUAAGUGAACCUGGAGGUUAGUGGGGACAUAGUAUAUGGGUGAGAAUAUAAACAAUAGCAUUCUUCUUUUGUUUAAUGACAAUACCAAUUACAAAUUACACUGAGAUACUUUUCUCUGUUUAUUGAGCCUUGCUUGCUGUCAUCCUUCAGUAAUGAGAUACUUAAAAGGCAUAAUAUACUACAUACCUGUUUGGAAUACCAUAUGCCCCCUUGAUAAAAUCAGUGCAGGAAAAAAAAUUAAUUUAAGCAUAUGCUAGAUAUUAUUCACAUUUGGAAGACUAAUUUCGUUAUUUCGAAAGACUUAGCAAUAAACUCUAUACUUCUUGUCAUUCGUCUUGAAAAAAAUAAUAGUAUACAUUAUUUUUUCAGGUGUAUUUAAUCUUUGUACAGAAACAGAGAUUCUGGCUUUUCCUAGUAAGAUUUCAUAUUUAGUUUUCACCAUAAGGCUAAAUUUCCUGACAUGAAAUAAUUAGUUAGAAUCAGCGAAACUUAAAUGGGUGAACCAGAAUUUCUUUCCUUGCAUUGACCUUUGAGCUACCUGGGCUAUAAAUGUAUUCGCUCAUAGUCCAGAAUGCCAGAAACAUUCAAUUCCAAAAACACCUACCAGCGGUUAAAAAUAAACAACAUAGAGAAGGGCAGAAAUGGGUUUUUCAAUGUCCAAAGAAAUUAAGGUGCCUAUGUUGCUUUGUGCUUACGAGUUAAGGUCAAGCCUGAUUUAGUUUUUCUAACAAGUAGCCACUCCUGAUCCUCAAACUAAAGAGAUCCUUUCACAUCCUGACCUUAAUUUCUGGAGGACCCAGGUAGGAUUCCCCUCAUGGGUGCAUUGUGUGUCAAGAUGUACAUUCUUGCAUCACUGGAAACAACCAUCAGUGCCAGUCACAUCCUAGGACGAUUUUCUUGCCAUUUCCAAGGCAGUCACUAGUCUAUUUCUGAGGCUGCCCCAGUGUGAGUCUGGGCCUACUCAAUGCCUGGGCUGGGUGCUCAAGUGGUUGCAACCAGAACUAGAAGAAACCUCAGAAAUUACCUAACACUUCAUCCUUUCAUCCAUUCAUUCUCUUGAAACAUGUUGCACAUCUGCUCUGUACCCAGGACUGUGCCAGAGACCACCGAUCCAAACACCAAGAUAAGACAUGUCACUUGUGCUAUCUACGUCCCCAUUUCAAAGGAGAGAUUUAACAAAGGACCUUUGUAAUGCAACAGGAACAGUACUAGAUGAUUUGACAAUGGUACCCUAGUCGGCAUACUCUAAUAUAGCCGUGUUAGGAGCGCAUCCCAAAUCCAGUGGUUUGCAAAACAAUCUUUUCUAUUCUCCCGCUGACUGGUCUGCAGGGAGUUUGCACUGGGGUAACUAAGGUUGAGCCCCAGCUGGCAGCUCUGCUUCAGGCUGUGGAAGCAGGUGGGCUUGGCUGUAGCAGUGGGCCUAGGUCUGCUCUGUGUCUCUCAUUCAAGUCUGUCUCCCCUUAAAGGGGCAGUGGCUUACUGGCUGGGUUCUCUUGGAGCAUCAUGGGAGGUCAUGACAAUAAGCCUAAAUUUGUGCUUUUUAAUGCCUCCACUCACAUCCCUGUCUUCUCCAUGCGCUGUGAGCCCAUCAGGACCAGAGGCACCUGUAUUUCCCCUACAUAGCAGCUCUUCCACUCUCGGUGAGUCAGGUUAAGAAAUCUUGUCUCUUCCGUCGUCCUUCAAUCAAUUAUUCAUUCAUCCAUUUAUUCACUCUUCGUUCCAUCUUUCAUCUGCUCAUCAGACAUUGGGCAUAUAACAUGUUGGCCCAGCUGAGGAUACAAAGGUGAAAAAGAACCACUGGCCUCAAGCUUUUUUGAACUAAGGGAAUUUGAAAACAAAUGCAUCAUUGUAUAACUACAAAUGUAAUAAAUUCAUUGAGUAAUAAAAAAAA
This 3983-nucleotide long non-coding RNA is filed under the name Sus scrofa (pig). Its description in RNAcentral is "lncRNA (ENSSSCG00050016400.1)". Lineage: Eukaryota; Metazoa; Chordata; Mammalia; Artiodactyla; Suidae. The record is from RNAcentral.